UUUACGUUUUCUGUACAAAGUGAAAACUGCGAUACGGUGGAUACGACGGAUACGGCAAGGCUCGCCGAUUUGAGCUUGAAAUGCAUCGGAAAUGCAGAGCUGGCCACCGAAUUGUGAAUAAGGUGAAACUAAACAUUCACCGGGACGAACAUCUGCGGUGAUGGGAAGUUACCGGAGCUACCAGAGAAGCGAUACCGUGUUCCAGUAAUCCACUCUGGAGGAGUUAAGCUCCAAUCUGAUGAAGCAACCAAUUCAAGUGCGAAGCCAAAUUGAAAUCGAGCGUUCUGGAUGCAAUUCAAAGGAAAACCGCAAGGAACCUACAGCCACGGUGAGAUUGAUGAUGCGGAACAAGCAACUUCUCCAUCAAGCACGGAGUUUUCAGCUAAAAAUAAUUUUGAGCGAGGCAUGCGAGGCUUUCCAGCGAUGUUGAUCGAGGCAUGUGGCGGCGGCCAAGGCAGGUGUCGACGUUAGUAAACUGACCUAGGCGAAGGCCGUAGUAAGCAGAGUAUGGCUAGUCGAUACGAGGACAUCGCUUAAUAAGCAGAAUCGUUUCGGCAAAUUGGACUGCCUUGAGAAGCCUACCAAAAAUCUCCAUCGCACUCCAAAUAAGGCAUAUAACAGUUGUCUCUGCAGAAGCAGUUUACACCAAUACGUCUUAGCUGUUUAAUAAGCCCAAUCAAAAAGCUUACCACCAUACCCGUUACUGCAAGUCCUACCAAGGUCUUAGCUCGUCAUCGUUUCCAAACUUUUGCCGAAUCAGAUACACCCUUCCUUCAAUUGCCCUACAAGCCCCGCAGCCUGGCCGAACUGUUCAAGUGUAUCGUCAUAGUUUGUGCCACGUUCUACAACCACAAGGAGCAAAUCACCUUCAAGAAACAAACUUGUACGAAAGCCAUGCACAAAUUAAAACCCUAUUCCGAACAUAAAGUCUACAAAACUCCAAAUCUUCAAUUACUGUUCAGCAAUCUUCCGUCCGAUGCUCUCGUAAUACUGAAUCCUUGACUGAAUCUUAGGUUGCCCUCACCAUUUCGUAUCCCGAACCCUUGACCAUAAUCAUCGAAGCGGCCUCUGGCGAUCUACUUGGCGAUUCUCAUCAGCAUGUGGGACCAUUCAAUGUCGCAAAUCUGAAACAGAGAGUUAGAACAAAUCCGAUAAUGUUGAACGAUCAUCGGUAUAUGGUCAUUCGAUGUCCACAACUUAUUUCGCUACUGCUCCGUGAGUGUAUUUUGAAAUGUUCUAUAUUCUGCACGCAAUAUUACAUUACAUAUGUCCGAAGUUCUGCGCACAAUAAUAAAAACACAGUUUACGAGCGUUUUAGCUUUGCUGCUAAAGGAGGCCAUUUUUCGAUGUUAGAUAUCGCGGUCCGGUCUAAUAAAUUUUCAGGUUGGUAAUUUUCUCGACUUCCCUUCAUUGUGGUCCUGAACGCAAUGGAACGGAACGGCGACGGUGGGUUAACUGCUUAAUCCUACCGUUAUUGUCGCUGUUUCGUUCCAUUGCGUUUGGGGAUUUACCCUCAUGAUACAUAUACAAAAUCAAGAAAGGCACUUCGGCUUACAAACCUCGCAGUAAAUAACUGGGUGGAUGCGGGGUCACUAGGUCGAAUGGGAAAUGGAGAAUGAGAAGUGAGUAGUGCGAAGUGAGGAAAAAGUAAGAAGGAAGAAGAAUGUAGGAAGAAGGAAAAAGGUAACAAGUAGAAAGAAAGAGAAAAAAUGAAGUGAAGACAUUCAAAUAUAAAGCUCAAUAUAAUUUUCUUGAGGGAAAAUGAAUAAAAGAUUUAAGAAAAAAGAAAGAUGAAGGAAGAAUGAUAAAAGAAAGAUGAAGGAAGGAGGAAGAAAGAAGAAGAAAUAAGAAUAAAGGAAAUGGGGAUCAGGAAGAAAAAAAAGGUUGCAGUAAGAAGAAAAAGUAAUAAACAAAAAGGAAAAUAAAGAAGGAAGAAGGAAGGAGUAUGGAGGAAGAUGGAAAAAGGAAGAAGAGAGAAGAAAGAAGCUUCCUUCCUUCUUGAAGAAGGAAAAAAUAAGAAGAAUGGAGAAUGAAGGAAGGAAGGCGGAAGAGAGAAGGAAGAAAAAACAAAUGGAGUAUGACGAAACAAGAAAGACAAGGAAGAAGAAAGAAUUAAGAUAGCAGAAGGA
This is a long non-coding RNA of Armigeres subalbatus, 2129 nucleotides long. RefSeq lists it as uncharacterized. The record is from RefSeq and is a predicted model, not a curated record. The transcript is spliced from 2 exons. NCBI's taxonomy places the organism in Eukaryota, Metazoa, Arthropoda, Insecta, Diptera, Culicidae.